GACGGGAGCGGGGGAUUAGGGUUCGAUUCCGGAGAGGGAGCCUGAGAAAUAGCUACCACUUCUACGGAGGGCAGCAGGCGCGCAAAUUGCCCAAUGUCAAAAAAAACGAUGAGGCAGCGAAAAGAAAUAGGGCCUGCAGACGGUUUACCGUAUGUGGGAUACAAUGGGGGAUAUUUAAUGCCAUCCAAUAUCGAGUAUCAAUUGGAGGACAAGUCUGGUGCCAGCACCCGCGGUAAUUCCAGCUCCAAAAGCGUAUAUUAACGCUGCUGCUGUUAAAGGGUUCGUAGUUGAAUUGUGGCUUGCGAAUCCGCUGUCCUGUCCUCUUGAGGGCACCAGCGCUUGCAUGCCGUGAACAUUCGAAACACAAAACACGGGAAUGGUUCCAUUCCAACCUCACAUGUCAUGCAUGUGGAAUGGCGCCCGUGAUUUUUACUGUGACUAAAAAAGCGCGACCAAAGCAGUCGUUCGACCUGAAUUUUCAAGCAUGGGAUAACAAAGCUAACCUUCGGAUAUUUCCGUUUUCGGCUUUUGUUGGUUUUAACAGUCCGUAGGACAUUAUAAGCGAGUGUGACAGCCCUUUCGGGGGUUCCGGCUUGCCGGUUCAUUUCGCUUCAGAAUGAAAGAGGGUUGUCGGGGGAGAACGUACUGAGGCGUGAGAGGUGAAAUUCUUAGACCGCCUUAAGACGAACUACAGCG
Molecule: ribosomal RNA, 696 nt
Filed under: Trypanosoma sp.
Lineage: Eukaryota; Euglenozoa; Kinetoplastea; Trypanosomatida; Trypanosomatidae
Description: SSU rRNA
Rfam family: Eukaryotic small subunit ribosomal RNA
Source: RNAcentral